UGCUCAUCCAUACGAAGUGAUUAGUUUCUCCAGGGCACUAGGAGACCACUUGGUAAAUUACUUUAACCAAGCACUCUAAAUGGUCCCCUAGUGCUCUGGGAAAGUUAAUCUCAUUCACCUUCCAUGGAAGAGCAGAUUA
Molecule: microRNA precursor, 139 nt
Organism: Equus asinus (donkey)
Lineage: Eukaryota; Metazoa; Chordata; Mammalia; Perissodactyla; Equidae
Source: Ensembl